UGCUCACUCUUCUUUUACACCUCUUCCUUCAUCUGCUUAGAUACAAGCAGAAGCAGAUGAAGGCAGAGAUGCAAAGGAAGCUUGCACAUGAG
This 92-nucleotide small RNA is filed under the name Neochlamydia sp. TUME1. Its description in RNAcentral is "mraW". Lineage: Bacteria; Pseudomonadati; Chlamydiota; Chlamydiia; Parachlamydiales; Parachlamydiaceae. The record is from RNAcentral.